RNAcentral lists this long non-coding RNA (2555 nucleotides) under Salmo salar (Atlantic salmon). RNAcentral describes it as "lncRNA (ENSSSAG00000089438.1)". Lineage: Eukaryota; Metazoa; Chordata; Actinopteri; Salmoniformes; Salmonidae. The record is from RNAcentral.
CAGAUGCCAUGUUUACUGUCAGAGAGAAACCACAUCAGUCCUAGACCAGUAGGUGGAAACACCAAAGUGACCAUCUUGGGUGUGGGUAAUGUCAGUAUGGCAUGUUCCCUCAGUAUAUUACAGUCGAGUGUGGCUGAUGAAGUCACCGUGGUGGAUGCUAUAGAGGACUGCAUGGAGAGGAGCUGGACACGCAGCAAGCCAGCCUCUUCCUGAAGACCUCCAAGAUCACAGCCGCCAGAGACUACUCAGACACAGCCAACUCCAAGCUGUGCGUCAUCACUGCAGGCAUGCGUCAGAGGAAGAGGGAGAGUCGUCAGGAUCUGCUCCAGAGGAACAUUUAGGUGUUGAAGCAGAUCAUCCCUCAACUGGCCCAGCACAGCCCUGACACCAUCCUCCUGGUCAUAUAAACCCCUAGUACCUCACUACACCAUGUCCACUUCUUAUAUUCGUAUAUGGAGAAGUGAGUAGGAUAUUAUCAGACUGAUGAGAAGAGUCAAGUCAAACUUAGUUACAUGACUCAUUUUCCCUAAGUAAAGGUUUCUUCCUAGCGUGGAGAAACCCUGUCCAAUAGUAAUUGAGCAUGUAUAUAUUUGUUUCUAACCCUGGCUGGUGGCUAACCCGAUGGUACUGAACUCUGUGGCACUCUGAUGGAUGUGCUGACCUAUGUGGCAUGGAGGCUGAGUGGGUUCCCUCAGAACAGGGUCAGCGGAACCAAUCUGGACUCAACAUCGUUCUCCUACUUGACGGGAGAGGGACUGCAGAUCCACCCUAGCAGUGUCCACGGACACAUCAUAGGAGAGCACCGGGACUCCAGUGGUGCCACUCCCCUGUAUCAGGAGGGGUGCAUCACUUGAGUGGGUUGAGUCACUGACACGGUCUUCCUGUCUGGGUUGCCCCCCCGGAUUGUGCCAUGGCGGAGAUCUUUGUGGGCUAUUCUCCGGCCUUGUCUCAGGAUGGUAAGUUGGUGGUUGAAGAUAUCCCUCUAUUGGUGUGGGGGCUGUGCUUUGGCAAAGUGGGUGGGGUUAUAUCCUGCCUGUUUGGCCCUGUCUGUCCGGGGGUAUCGUCAGACGGAGUCACAGUGUCUCCCAACCCCUCCUGUCUCAGCCUCCAGUAUUUAUGCUGCAGUAGUUUAUGUGUCGGGGGCUAGGGUCAGUCUGUUAUAUCUGGAGUAUUUCUCCUGUCUUAUCCGGUGUCCUGUGUGAAUUUAAGUAUGCUCUCUCUAAUUCUCUCUCUCUCUCUCUUUCUCUCUUUCUUUCUUUCUUUCUUUCUUUCUUUCUUUCUUUCUUUCUUUCUUUCUUUCUCUCUCUCGGAGGACCUGAGCCCUAGGACCAUGACUCGGGACUACCUGGCCUGAUGACUCCUUGCUGUCCCCAGUCCACCUGCCAUGCUGCUACUCCAGUUUCAACUGUUCUGCUUGCGGCUAUGGAACCCUGACCUGUUCACCGGACGUGCUACCUGUCCCAGACCUGCUGUUUUCAACUCUCUAGAGACAGCAGGAGCAGUAGAGAUACUCUGAAUGAUCAGCUAUGAAAAGCCAACUGACAUUUCCUCCUGAGGUGCUGACCUGUUGCUCCCUCGACAACCACUGUGAUUAUUAUUAUUUGACCCUGCUGGUCAUCUAUGAACGUUUGAACAUCUUGGCCAUGUUCUGUUAUAAUCUCCACCCGGCACAGCCAGAAGAUGACUGGCCACCCCUCAUAGCCUGGUUCCUCUCUAGGUUUCUUCCUAGGUUCUGGCCUUUCUAGGGAGUUUUUCCUAGCCACCGUGCUUCUACACCUGCAUUGCUUGCUGUUUGGGGUUUUAGGCUGGGUUUCUGUACAGCACUUUGUGACAUCAGCUGAUGUAAGAAGGGCUUUAUAAAUACACUUGAUUGAUUGUACUCCAGGCAGUCAUAGACAGGUAAUGAAGAUCAGCAUUGUCCUUGUCACAAGUAAAUGUGUAUCACCAAUUAAUCUCUAGAAACAGGGGCAUAGAUUACUGUUAGAGCAAGUCAGUAUUAUCUUGAGUAUGUAUACACACACAGUAAUAUGGGACUCUAAAGUAGUGGAAAAUGUCUCUUCAGUGGUUAUGAGGUGAUUCGGCUGAAGGGGCACACCCCCUGGGUCAUUGGUCUGAGUGUGUCCAGCCUAGCACAGGUCAUACUGAAGAACCUCAGCACCAUUCACCCUGUGUCCAUCCUUGUCAAGUAUGUGUGUUCGUGUGUGUGUGUUUCCCAGGGCAUGUGUGGGAUAGAGGAGGAGGUGUACUCACCCAGCCCCUGAGGGAGACAGAGGUUCAGGGGCUGCAGGAGAGGGCAUGGUUCCUGGGACAAACCAACAGCGAGCUGAUCCUCUGAGCCACGGAACUCCAGGACAAAGAAUGAAUCAAGCUCAUACAUUAGUUUACACUGAGGUUAACUGAUGUUGUCAUGUGUACAGUAACAACGUCUAAACACUAAACAUGACCCAUCAAGCUCAUACAUGUGAUUUGUAUAUAUUUGUGUUGUAUCAUCAAUAGAUGUCUGUAUCGCAAAACAAAUAUACAGACUGCGUGUGAUGAAUAAAGAGUUAUUGGAA